This 686-nucleotide ribosomal RNA is filed under the name Bacteroidota bacterium. RNAcentral describes it as "bacterial SSU rRNA". It matches the Rfam family "Bacterial small subunit ribosomal RNA", at positions 1 to 681 of the family's 1533-position model. The record is from RNAcentral. Lineage: Bacteria; Pseudomonadati; Bacteroidota.
ACAAUGAAGAGUUUGAUCCUGGCUCAGGAUGAACGCUAGCGGCAGGCUUAACACAUGCAAGUCGAGGGGCAGCGCGGAGUAGCAAUACUCUGGCGGCGACCGGCGAAAGGGUGAGUAACGCGUGAGCAACAUGCCCGUAGUUGGGGGAUAGUCGAUGGAAACGUCGCGUAAUACCCCGUAACAACAGUUCCCGCAUGAGGAUUGUUUAAGAGAUUUAUUGUCUACGGAUUGGCUCGCGUGCCAUUAGAUAGUUGGUGAGGUAACGGCCCACCAAGUCGACGAUGGCUAGGGGUUCUGAGAGGAAGGUCCCCCACAUUGGAACUGAGACACGGUCCAGACUCCUACGGGAGGCAGCAGUGAGGAAUAUUGGACAAUGGCCGAGAGGCUGAUCCAGCCAUGCCGCGUGCGGGAUGAAGGCCCUAUGGGUCGUAAACCGCUUUUGUCGGGGAGCAAUAAGGUGUACGUGUACACCGAUGAGAGUACCUGGCGAAUAAGCAUCGGCUAACUCCGUGCCAGCAGCCGCGGUAAUACGGAGGAUGCGAGCGUUAUCCGGAUUUAUUGGGUUUAAAGGGUGCGCAGGCGGUCUGCUAAGUUGGAGGUGAAAAGUCCGGGCUCAACCUGGGUCGUGCAUCCAAUACUGGUGGACUUGAAUGUCCGUGCCGUGGGAGGACUGAGUAGCGUAGCGG